This is a long non-coding RNA of Micropterus salmoides (largemouth bass), 647 nucleotides long. RefSeq lists it as uncharacterized. The record is from RefSeq and is a predicted model, not a curated record. NCBI's taxonomy places the organism in Eukaryota, Metazoa, Chordata, Actinopteri, Centrarchiformes, Centrarchidae. The transcript has 3 exons.
ACACAUGGGCAGUUUCUUGCAUUAUGGGUUGGCAUCCUUCACCAUGUCUGCAACAUUCACACCUGGACUAUGGGAAGUUGCAAACACGGACACCUUGAAUCGGAUCAAAUGCGGGGAAAGAUAUGGAUCCAGAGAGACUCCCAGUGCCACAAAGCUUUAGUGGAUAUAGUUCUCGAUAAGAGGUGGCAGAAAGAUGUUCACAACUAUCUGCGAUUCAGGUAGUGUGGCUAUACUUUUUCACACUGAUGUAUAUUAGUAAUAUUUAUGCUUACUGCUCAUGUACACAGAAGUAUGUAUUUCAGAUUUCAACGGUAUGCCUUGAAAUCUGAAAAAACCUACGGAUACAUUUCCGAGUUGCAAAGCUGGAUUGUGAAGAACAGACUCACAAGUGGAGUAGGGAUGCCUAGAAGGAGGAGGCUCCUCCCAGAUGACCCCAGACAGCUUGGUUUGGUGCCCCCUGUACCUGCACCAGCCACAUCAGACUUGUUGCAGAGACAAGUCAGAAGAGGUCUAGGACCGUUAUUCCAACCAGCAUCUGAUGUGGAAGGAUCCCCAUAGGAGAUCACCUUGCAUGUGUCCUGGUACUUGUCAGGCAGGAUCACGAGGGAAAGAACUUCAGUUCACUGAAAAAGUCAUAGCUUUUACUC